CUUAUGGAACAGGUAAAGCAAAGGCAAUAAGCAAAACAAGCUUCCCCACAAUAUCCAGUCAGUGUGCCACAGCUCUAAUUUGGCAGAACUGUUUCUAGGAG
RNAcentral lists this small RNA (101 nucleotides) under Chelonoidis abingdonii (Abingdon island giant tortoise). Its description in RNAcentral is "TUC338 (ENSCABG00000017528.1)". The record is from RNAcentral. Lineage: Eukaryota; Metazoa; Chordata; Testudines; Testudinidae.